RNAcentral lists this long non-coding RNA (583 nucleotides) under Olea europaea subsp. europaea. Lineage: Eukaryota; Viridiplantae; Streptophyta; Magnoliopsida; Lamiales; Oleaceae. The record is from RNAcentral.
UAGAUUUUCAUGAAUAUCAGAUUAUUCAUUAACUUUACAUUUACUUAUCUAGAAUUAAGAACAAAGAAUUGUAUGAUGCACUCAUGUUUUGGUUUUAAAAGUGUUACUGGAUUUCAGAAUUUUUCAAAGAUUUAAUAAAGCUAGAAUUUUCAGAAAAUAUGUAGAAAUGGAAAAAGUAUAUUUAUUCGCAAAUUAUCCACUCACUAAGCUAUAAGCUCAUAUGUCUUUUCACCUUUUUCCUUAUCAGAUAGCAGCUGAAUUGAGCAGCUUUGGAGCCUAUUGUUCCGCCAUAUUGAGUCACCCAUCAUAGGUUGUAUGGCCUACUUUACCAGACUAUGUAGUAUAUGUUUCUUUGAGUUAUAUGUAGUUUAUGUCAGAAAAGGUUAUCAUGGGUUCACUGCAUAUUUGGCGUCUUUAGUAUAUUUGGGAAAUGUUGGUUGCAGAGAAAGGAAAUGUUGAUUUGCCGACAUUUUAUUUGAAUAGUUUGUAUUUUGAGGGAUUAGCGUAUUCUAUUUAUAUUAUAGGUAUUGAUUUGAGAAAAAUUAGUUGUUGUUCAGUGGUUUUAGUUCAUAUUUCAAGGGAA